RNAcentral lists this ribosomal RNA (409 nucleotides) under bacterium. RNAcentral's name for it is "partial 16S ribosomal RNA". It matches the Rfam family "Bacterial small subunit ribosomal RNA", at positions 355 to 776 of the family's 1533-position model. The record is from RNAcentral.
UGGGGAAUAUUGCACAAUGGGCGAAAGCCUUAUGCAGCGACGCCGCGUGAGGGAUGACGGCCUUCGGGUUGUAAACCUCUUUCAGUAGGGACGAAGCGCAAGUGACGGUACCUGCAGAAGAAGCACCGGCUAACUACGUGCUAGCAGCCGCGGUAAUACGUAGGGUGCGAGCGUAGUCUGGAAUUACUGGGCGUAAAGAGCUCGUAGGCGGUUUGUCACGUCGUCUGUGAAAUCCUAGGGCUUAACCCUGGACGUGCAGGGGAUACGGGCUGACUUGAGUACUACCAGGGGGACUGGAAUUUCUGGUGUAGCGGUAGAAUUCACAGAUGUCGGGAAGAGCACCGAUGGCGGAGGCGAGGCUCUGGGUAGUAACUGACGCUGAAGAGCAGAAGCGUGGGUAGCGAACGGG